Molecule: ribosomal RNA, 342 nt
Filed under: Triticum aestivum (bread wheat)
Lineage: Eukaryota; Viridiplantae; Streptophyta; Magnoliopsida; Poales; Poaceae
Description: partial small subunit ribosomal RNA
Source: RNAcentral
AUGGAAGGCGGCGGAGGAGCGGUAGGUGGAGGAGCAGAAUCCGGCGAUGUCCAGCCAGGCAAGGCCAUCGCGGCGGCCGGCGGCGUAACACGCGACUGCGGAGGAUCUGGUUCUGGAGGCCCCCACCGUGCUCGGGCAGUCAGGUUCCGACCGCGCUCGCCCUCGUACAUCCUUCGGCGGCGGCGGUAUGGUUGCGGAGCCAAACUCGUCGACUUGGACAAGGAUGUAGCAGCUGAUGGCGAAGCUGGUGUCGGGCAUGCAGGUACUCUUCUCCAUCGGCCUCAUGUUCAUCUUCUACCUCAAGAUACUAUGAUUAUUAGAGACAGUAUGCAGAAGGAUUGA